GAAAUGCGAUAAGUAGUGUGAAUUGCAGAAUUCAGUGAAUCAUCGAAUCUUUGAACGCACAUUGCGCCCCUUGGUAUUCCAUGGGGCAUGCCUGUUCGAGCGUCAUUUGUACCCUCAAGCUCUGCUUGGUGUUGGGUGUUUGUCCCGUCUCCGCGCGUGGACUCGCCCCAAAGUGAUUGGCAGCCGGCGUACUGGUCCCGGAGCGCAGCACAUGUCGCGCAAACGAGUGUCUUGGUACGGCGGCGUCCAUAAGCCCCUCUCUCACGCUCUUGACCUCGGAUCAGGUAGGGAUACCCGCUGAACUUAAGC
This 309-nucleotide unclassified non-coding RNA is filed under the name plant metagenome. RNAcentral describes it as "partial contains 5.8S ribosomal RNA, internal transcribed spacer 2, and large subunit ribosomal RNA". The stretch from base 1 to 105 matches the Rfam family "5.8S ribosomal RNA", at positions 50 to 154 of the family's 154-position model. The record is from RNAcentral.